Acanthosepion pharaonis is the source of this 103-nucleotide non-coding RNA. NCBI's taxonomy places the organism in Eukaryota, Metazoa, Mollusca, Cephalopoda, Sepiida, Sepiidae. The record is from the annotation of a GenBank genome assembly.
UUAUGGCCAUAUCACGUUGGAGCACCAGUUCGUGUACGACCACCGAAGUUAAGCAACGCCGAGCCUGGCCAGUAUCUAAAUGGGUGACCGCUUAGGAAUACCA